AGAGCGAGGACAGCCAUGGUGGAAGACGGACGUGCUGCUUAUCUCUACCACGCAUCAGGAUGCCACCACCCGAGACAUGGACCAAAGGGCGUGGAGGACUCCGAGUGUCGCCUUCUGGGAGUAUGUGGACAGACGUGUGGAGAAAGAUUGGCGAGAGAUGAGUAAGCAGCAGCAGCAGCAACACAAUCAGGAACCUCCGAGAACCCACAGUGCAGUGCUUCCUUGGACGACUAUACUCGUUUUGCAGUGAGGUGACAGCUCCCCCGAAAGUAAACUCCACACAUACUUUGUACUGCCAAUCAGAAAAAGACUAUUCUCACCAAGUGGGUGGAGGAAAUCAGUCCACACAACCACCAGCAGUAUUGUGGAAGGAAGAGGGUGGAAUUGUCCGAAUUCUAGAGAUACCUCGAAGACUCUCCGGAGACAAACAGAACAACUUUCGCUGU
Portunus trituberculatus (swimming crab) is the source of this 446-nucleotide long non-coding RNA. RefSeq lists it as uncharacterized. The record is from RefSeq and is a predicted model, not a curated record. Lineage: Eukaryota; Metazoa; Arthropoda; Malacostraca; Decapoda; Portunidae. The transcript has 4 exons.